This 64-nucleotide transfer RNA is filed under the name Pipunculus sp. XL-2018. RNAcentral's name for it is "tRNA-Pro". Lineage: Eukaryota; Metazoa; Arthropoda; Insecta; Diptera; Pipunculidae. The record is from RNAcentral.
CAAGAGGUAGUUUAAUAAAAUAUUAAUUUUGGAGAUUAAUGAUGAGGUAAUUCUUCCCUUUUGA